CCGGCGCACGGGUGAGUAACACGUAUGCAACCUGGCCGUCACAGGUGGAUAACCGGAAGAAAUUCCGACUAAUACAGCAUAACACUCCUGAGGGACAUCCUUCGGGAGUCAAAGGAGGCAACUCCGGUGACGGAUGGGCAUGCGGCGCAUUAGGUAGUUGGUAGGGUGACGGCCUACCAAGCCGACGAUGCGUAGGGGUUCUGAGAGGAAGGUCCCCCACAUUGGAACUGAGACACGGUCCAAACUCCUACGGAAGGCAGCAG
Molecule: ribosomal RNA, 263 nt
Filed under: uncultured bacterium
Lineage: Bacteria
Description: partial 16S ribosomal RNA
Rfam family: Bacterial small subunit ribosomal RNA
Source: RNAcentral